AACGAACGCUGGCGGCAUGCUUAACACAUGCAAGUCGAACGAGACCUUCGGGUCUAGUGGCGCACGGGUGAGUAGCGCGUGGGAACCUGCCCUGGAGUGGGGGAUAACCGAUGGAAACGUCGGCUAAUACCGCAUGCGCCGGAGAGAUCCGGGAAAGAUUUAUCGCUCUAGGAGGGGCCCGCGUCGGAUUAGCUUGUUGGUGGGUAACGGCCUACCAAGGCUAUGAUCCGUAGCGGUCUGAGAGGAUGAUCAGCCACACUGGGACUGAGACACGGCCCAGACUCCUACGGAGGCAGCAGUGGGAAUAUUGGACAAUGGGGCAACCCUGAUCCAGCAAUGCCGCGUGAGUGAGGAAGGCCUUCGGUUGU
Molecule: ribosomal RNA, 368 nt
Filed under: uncultured bacterium
Lineage: Bacteria
Description: bacterial SSU rRNA
Rfam family: Bacterial small subunit ribosomal RNA
Source: RNAcentral